UUAACUGAAACCAAAAGGUAUAUCACUGUUAAUGAUAAGAUUGAGAAAUUUUUCUCCAGUUAA
This 63-nucleotide transfer RNA is filed under the name Anoplistes halodendri. RNAcentral's name for it is "tRNA-Asn". Lineage: Eukaryota; Metazoa; Arthropoda; Insecta; Coleoptera; Cerambycidae. The record is from RNAcentral.